Long non-coding RNA from Carassius carassius (crucian carp), 695 nucleotides. RefSeq lists it as uncharacterized. The record is from RefSeq and is a predicted model, not a curated record. The transcript has 3 exons. NCBI's taxonomy places the organism in Eukaryota, Metazoa, Chordata, Actinopteri, Cypriniformes, Cyprinidae.
ACUACUUUUGGUUUCUGCAAUGCUUCAAAAAAGUUGGUGGACAUUUCAGCCCUGCUGAGGGCAGCGAAAGCCCACUGUUUACCAGGUCUGGGGGUCUGUAUGCAGCUGGAAGAUCUGAUGCAGAAUCUGAGACUGAUGACUGGAGACACUACAGCAGGGGGCUGACAGGAGCCAGUUUCUUCAGUGUGUUUGAGGAGCAGACGAGAAACUUGUGCUGUGCUCUGAGUUGAUGAAGUAGUGUGUGUCGAGCUGAAGGAGAAGAUGGAGAACUGUCUGAUGCUGAUGUUUCUGUGUUAUAUGGUAAAACUCAUCACCUCUGACAGUGUGAGUGUGAGGUUGGUGAAUGGCAAUAAUCCCUGUGCUGGUCGAGUGGAGGUUUAUAAUGAUGGUCAGUGGGGAACAGUGUGUCAUCAUGGCUGGGAUAUGACUGAUGCGGCAGUGGUGUGUAGAGAGCUGGACUGUGGGACGGCUGUAAACACAACACGUAGUGCUCACUUUGGACCGUGAUCAGGACCAAUUUCAAUGGCUCUUGUAGGAUGUAGUGGAUCAGAGACUACACUGAAAGACUGUAGUUCAGACAGCGAGUUUGCACAGUACUGUGAUCAUGAUGAAGAUGCUGGUGUCAUCUGUUCAGGUAAGCUGCUCCAAACCUCAGUCUGUUAUUUCAUCACUAUCUUUCAUAAAUCACACUCAAU